GGUGAAGUCGAAUGAUGGAAGGGAAUAUGGAAUUCCUGGUGUAGCGGUGAAAUGCGCAGAUAUCAGGAGGAACACCGAUGGCGAAGGCAGGUCUCUGGGCAUUAACUGACGCUGAGGAGCGAAAGCAUGGGGAGCGAACAGGAUUAGAUACCCUGGUAGUCCAUGCCGUAAACGUUGGGCACUAGGUGUGGGGGACAUUCCACGUUUUCCGCGCCGUAGCUAACGCAUUAAGUGCCCCGCCUGGGGAGUACGGCCGCAAGGCUAAAACUCAAAGGAAUUGACGGGGGCCCGCACAAGCGGCGGAGCAUGCGGAUUAAUUCGAUGCAACGCGAAGAACCUUACCAAGGCUUGACAUGAACCGGUAACGCCUGGAGACAGGUGCCCCGCUUGCGGUCGGUUUACAGGUGGUGCAUGGUUGUCGUCAGCUCGUGUCGUGAGAUGUUGGGUUAAGUCCCGCAACGAGCGCAACCCUCGUUCUAUGUUGCCAGCACGUGAUGGUGGGGACUCAUAAGAGACUGCCGGGGUCAACUCGGAGGAAGGUGGGGACGACGUCAAAUCAUCAUGCCCCUUAUGUCUUGGGCUUCACGCAUGCUACAAUGGCCGGUACAAAGGGUUGCGAUACUGUGAGGUGGAGCUAAUCCCAAAAAGCCGGUCUCAGUUCUGAUUGGGGUCUGCAACUCGACCCCAUGAAGUCUGAGUCGCUAGUAAUCGCAGAUCAGCAACGCUGCGGUGAAUACGUUCCCGGGCCUUGUACACACCGCCCGUCAAGUCACGAAAGUUGGUAACACCCGAAGCCGGUGGCCUAACCCCUUGUGGAGGAGCUGUCGA
Molecule: ribosomal RNA, 828 nt
Filed under: Arthrobacter sp.
Lineage: Bacteria; Bacillati; Actinomycetota; Actinomycetes; Micrococcales; Micrococcaceae
Description: bacterial SSU rRNA
Rfam family: Bacterial small subunit ribosomal RNA
Source: RNAcentral